CUGACUACCAAGGAGGAAGGAUAUGUGGUGGAGAUCCUAGUGUAGGAGCUGGAGAUCCUGUUGCCCUAUGGACUGCAGCUUCAGGAGCCUGCAGGAAAGAAGAAAUUUGGGGAAGCAGUACCAUGCAGUAUGAUGACACCCAUGGCCCAAGCUGCCCCUGUGAGCCCAGUGCCACUAUUCCUCUGACCUCACACAGCUUGCACAGAACUUGGUCGACUUGUAUAUCUCCCAGCUUCUGUUAGAGGAGCUCAUGCCGGAUGUGUUCCUGGAGACCUUCGCAGAGUUUAUCAAGGGGUUUUCCGUGCAUGCAGAAAUACACCUGACUUGUAUCUAGCUCUUGCAUUUGAUAGGAUCCGAGGAGCAGGCACUGAAGUCCAGCAAUGGGGGAUCAUCAAAGGGGGAAAAAAUCCAAGCGUCCUUUAAGGGAGUCCACUUCCACUCUGAAGCAUCUUCCUGACUUGUUGCUGGAUGAGCUCUUUGUGGAAGUUCUCAGAUCUCUCAGCUGAUGUCUUCAGAAGUGCCAUGAAGGAUUUUGUGGAUGACUACUUAACCAGGGCUGCCAUUUUUGAAAGCAUGGACGGAAUAGUAACCGAAGUGGUUCAGAUGGUCUUGCCUAUCAUUCUCCGAGAGGCUCUCCGAGAUGGAAUACAAGGCUAUUCUCCAAGAGGUCAUUUCACAGGUCGUUGAGGAGGACACUAAAGCCUUAGCUCACUCAAUCCUCGGUGACUACAACGCCAAGAUGAUAAAUCUGCAGCAAAGCCAGGUACUGUUGAAGCAUGUGUGGCAGCAUGGGUUAUUCCAUGUAAGAAAUUAAUUCGUGUCCUGGUGAGAAACCCACAUGGGCCAUCAGACCUGACAGCAAGUCACCAUCUGGUACAAUUGAAAAGCCAAGUUCAAUAUACAGUACAUCCAGAAUAGUUCAGUAGGAAGAGCUUUUUAAAGGCUGGACAGACUCAGAGUUAUGCAUUCUCUUGAUUAUAAAAUUAAACUAAGAGUACUGGACCAUGAUUAAGAGGCAUCAUCUCAGUCUGGCUUCAUUCAAGUAUUGGAAUAACUCUCUAACAUAGGUUUUGUUAGACAUAAUAGAUAAAACAUGCUCACGCCCCAACACUUUCAAACCUGGGGCCUGAAGUUAAGCUCCCCAACAAAAGUGGCCUGAUUUUUUUCCCCAUAAGUCCCCCCCAAAUGCCUAACAAAGAUAUAGACCCCCCCUCUGUUCAGACACAUAGCAAGGGGGUGCCCGGAAGAGCUUGCAAUUUCAGUGGACAAGAGACAAUUGGGGAAACUGACUCACAAAUUGUGAUUGGCCCUAGGGCCACACAGGGAGGCAGUGGCAGGGCUAGGAGUAGAACUGAGAUCUCCUGACUUGUGGCCCUGUUCUUUGUUUUAAGUCAUGAGAUAAAAUCUCAUGAAACUGAAAUCUUGCAUUUAACAUUACAGCCUCAAUGCUUCAUUAUGCUUGUUCACUGUUGGGUAACAGGCCUCCUCCCAGAGGGAAGGACAGGAAGUAAAAGUUGAGUUCAACACCCUUAUGAACCAUUUAUCCAUCUGGCUGCCCAGUGCAAGUCUCAUCUUGCUCCUCCCAUAAACAUGUGUUGGGUUUACUAGAUGCCAAUCAAAAGCCCCCUGGACCAAAUACACCCUUGGUAAAACUACACUGACUUCCAUGGGGAUGAAUGAGCCAGGGUCUGUAGAUAUCUAUAAUGGAAAAGAGAUUACAGAUCAAUGACUAGCUGACACAAUCCUCUUUAUCACUUCUGUGUUGAUAUCACAGGCAACUCAACCCUCCUGUUCUCCCCUGCCCUGUCCCAUUCCCCACCACAUCUCAUCUGCCUUCACACUUUUCUCUUAUCACCUCUGAACUAAACCCCAUCCUCACCCCCCAAAAAUUGUGGCCCUAACAUGAGUUGCACUGUUACCUGGGUCACUGCAUCACUCAUCUGUUUAAAUUGAAAGCUGUCUGGUACAUCUACCACUCUGCAUUCGUACAGUGCCUAGCACAAUGGGGCUUGAAUCUUAGUUGGUCCUGAGGCACUACUCUAAGCUUGAAUAGUCAUAAGACACUCACACAAGCUUUCUCAGCAAAGCAAUAGUGGGAAGCAUGUGGGGUUUCCUAUUGAUCCCUUCAUUUGCUGUGGGGGCAGAGACCAGCAGAAAGUGACUUUCCUCCCAGUUACACAGAACCCAGGCAGACCGCCCUUAAAGGAAAAACCACCUCACUACUGAGGAGGUGGAAAGGCACAAUGUGAAAAGCUCUUUGGCUGGGCACUAAAGUAGAAACAGGACUUGACGUGCUGAGUCACUGGCAGGUGAGGUAUAGAUUACACCCUGUCAUAUGGCAGGAACCCUGGUGUGUAUUGUCAUGGAUUACCAUGUCUCUGAAUAGACAUCUUACAGUGUACAGGAAGUUUGUUUGGGGAGAUUACGCUGCCCUGUCUGAUAUGCAAAUGCAUAUAGAUGGCUGCAUUACACUAGAGGACAAUAGGAAUGGCUCUUUCUACUCCUUUUCUCUUUCCAAGUAAUUAGAGCUUGAAGGACUGAGCCUGGGCUGAAUGAUGGGCCAUGCAAGUGAGCCACAUUUCUAAGCAGUGAGGAGAUGGGCUCGCUCAGCACAGCAAGUAGAGUGGAACAAACACCCCUUAUUGUGCUCCAAGAGAUUACAGGGAAUAUUUGACUGAAAAAUAUUAAUUGGAAUUGCAGCUUUAAGACAGUGUGCAUGGGGGAGAGGCAUUUUUUCCUGCAGAGAGACUCUUUACCAAAUUAGCCCUUAGAACAGUGAGUGCAGACAUUCUCAUGGUAGCCUAACAGCUUGACCUGCUUAUCAGCCUAAUGUACCUUCUCAUUGCCAGGUCCCUUCCUCUUCCCACAUCUCUCCUGCUGUCCCCCACCUGCCUCCCUGUGGUGCUAUUUCUUUGUAGACACAGGGCUUAGAGGCCCCAGCUGAGAUUCAGGGCCUGUACAACAGUCCCUCCCCUGAAGAUCUAGUGGUUUAAAUAGACCAGAUCAACAAAGGGUGGAGACAGGACAGGCUGCUAUCCCCAUUUUACAGAUGGGGGAACAAAGGCCUGGAGAGAUGAAGUGGCUGAAUCUGUAGCAGAGCUAGGAAUUGAACCCAUAUCACCUGAGUGCCCCUCCACUGAACCACAAGCCUGCCCUUCCAUGUGUUCCCAGGGGUUCUGUCCCCCCUGCCCAGCAAUCUGUUCUGCAGGUCACAUGCCAAGCACAAAACCAGGAGGGUUUUCUGCAGCAGGAGAAGAGCAUGAUGAGACUUCCUCCAGUGAACUCGCCUAAACUGCCCUGGGCAGAGCUAUCUCUGCUUCCAGACUAGAGCCCUCUUCUACAGCACAACUUAUUACAGUAACUGCUAGUAAACAACUUAUUGACACCUUUCUUCUGGAGCACUUGAUCGGAAUGACUAGUACAUAUGACCCUGGAUUUGGAGGGAAGGAGCACUCCAGUGUCGUUUUAGCAAGUUGGAUGUUUGAUAUUCUUGUCAGGCAGUUCUUUAGCAUUCAGGAGCAGCAGCAGACUACCUCUGAAAAUGUUCCGCUGGGAGAUUUCCAUCAAAGCUUUUAUUGAGGUGGCUUUAGAUGUUAUCUUGACAGAACUAAAUAAACUAGCAGAGGAAGACAUGGAAGAUCUCCUGGAAUAUGAAAGGGGAGUACAGGCAGCUGGCUCCAUGUCUUAAGGGCUGCUUUCCACAGAACUAAACAGUAAAUGCACCUGCCUUAACAAAUGGAUAUCAACAGGCAAUGAACAAAUUCAGGCUGGAAGUUAGGUUUCUAACCAUGUGGGAUGGGGGUGGGAGACAAGGUUCUGGAACAGCCUCCCAACAGGAGUUGUGGGGCAAACAACUUAAUUCUCUUGAAGAGACAGAUGGGCACAUUUAUGAAUGCAAUUAGAUGAAGGAACUGCUUGGGGUGCUCAGCGACAGGGCUCAGCAUGUCUGUCUUAUAUUCCUAAAAUUGAGGCUUCAGGUUUCAGUUGGCCAUCAGCAGUGGCAAGGAGGGGAUAUUCCAAUCGCCCUCUCUACCAGUGCAUUGUUUCUCUCCCCUUCCUCUGAAGAUCAGGGCCAUCAAGGGAGAGGGCUAGGGCUGUGAGGUAGCACCAAGCAUUCUCUCAGGUGCUGGAGUGGCUGGUUCUUGCUCACAUGCUCAAGGUCUGAUUGCCACUUGAGGGGGUCAGGAAGAAACUUCCCCUGGUCAAAUUGUUAGUGACCCUGGGGGGUUUCACUUUCUGCAAGGGGUGAGCAGGUCACUGUCCAGGAUUAUCUGGAUCUCUCUCCAUUACUUCCCUGCCUGGGUGGGGACCUUGGCACUAGUGCAUCUCAAUCUCCCCUAUUCUCUGUGUGGCUCAUAAUAGUCUAGUCUCCUCAGGGCUGCAAUACUUCUAAUUCCAGUGCUUUGGUUAAGGGCAGGUACAGGGUGGUCCUCGUGGCCUAUGAUAUAUAGGAGGCCAGCCUAGGUGAGCUAGUGGUCACUUCUGGCCUUUACCUCUACAGCAGUGUUCCCAUGAGAACAAACAUCACCAUCACCUGUUUGCUAUAAACAUGCAUAGCUACACUAGACCUUACUUUGGUAUUUGCAAUAUACUCAUGAAGACAUAGUGCCCAUUAAGCCUUACUUUACCAUGAGGAUCUCUUCUCCCCCAGGAGAGGCAAUACACCCCCUUUCCAAAUUCUCACCUCACCUUUCACUCCCUCCAUAAGACAGCCAAUUCCAGCCCAGCUGUAUUACCUUUACAACCCUUUCCCUUACUGCUGUUUCCCUCACCUCUGUUUUAGGCAUCCAUGCCCUUCCCAACCCCAUCUCCCCAAAGAUCUAAUCCCACUCUGUUCAUCACAGGAGUAACACUUCUCCAGUGUGGUGAGGUUUUCCUGCAACAGCAGGAAAGGGGUGAUGUGGGAUGUGAUCCUGUUUCCAUCAGCUAACAGAAACCCUGCCCUGAUAUCCAGACUAGGCUCUUCUCAACACCCCCAUCCCCUAAGUACAUUGAGAUCUACAGACAACAAGUGCCAUCUAUGAGCUAAUAGUAUCAAAGACAACAGGUAUGAGCCUCACCUUUUAAUACCUGGAUGGCAGGGUGCCCAAUUAACAAACAACUUACAGCAGGGUUAAGUGACUUGGACAAGGUCAAACAGGUCAGUAGUAGAACCACGUGUCCUGUUUACUUCCUCUAGCCACUAACUUAAACACACUCCGUUCCCCUUUUUAGUGAUGUUCCUCCAAAGCCACUCUUACUACUAAAUAGGAAGUUCAGAUCAAAGGAUUACAUGGAAAUUACAGAGGAGAGAAGUGCCCCUGCAGUUUUAAGUUAUAGGAGAGAGCACAUGUAGUGGUUAGAUCUGGGGAUUACAAUAUUUUCCCCCAACUCUGCUACUGACCUUAGAGCUUGUCUACACACAGAGUUAUUCAGGAACACCUGCUACACUUAAUUCACAUCCAACCUUAAUCAAAAUCGACUUUCAAAUGUAGACAAGCCCCUAAGGCUUUGUCCAUGCUGAGCCGGUACAGAUUAGACACAAGCAUUUUUACCACUGUCACCUGGCUAUAAUGUCUUCUUGCAAUAUCUAAGAGAAGUAUAUCCUCUAAAAUGCACAAUGCAAGUAGCUGCAUCAGCCAAAUACUCCACAAAAUAGGGUUGUUUUCUUUCCUCACUUGUGUCAGUACAAAGAAGGUUUAGUCCCUUUAUUAUGCUGCUGUUUUAUGCAUCAGCUAGAUUUCAGCAUGCAAAAUUAAACUAUCAUUGCUAGAAAAGAACCAUAUUACUCAGAGCCCAGCAACUGCUGGCUCCUUCAUCAGAUUGCAUAAGAGGAAUUCACAUGCAGUGAAAAAAGGAUCGCUAAAUAUUACAUGACAGUUCCCUCCUCCUGUUAUGUGCCUUUCUACACUUCACUGAGAUAGCUUAUCCUCCCAGAUUUGUCAACAUGCUGGGGAAAUAGGUUCUGGCAUAAAAUACAAGUUGCCUGCGUUUCCCUCAAUGACAUGGUAUUGCACAGAGGAAGAUACAGAGGCGCUAUUCCCGUGAUCUCCUUUGAAUGAUUUAGGUGUUUGCGUUUCCUAAAAGCAAUUUGGCUUAGGAGCGCUACACUGGAAAUUUUCUUCCUCCAAGGCACUUGUCGUCAUUCCCUCCAGGAGGCUGCUGCAGUAAAAACAUAUUGAGCCAGAUCCUGACCCCCUGUUCUGUUUGCUUUGCACAACUCUGGUAGUGUUAAGCAGACCGAAUGCUGGCUUAAGUGACUCCCUGGUUUAGGAUCAUAGAACUCUCCUGCACUCCAGCAAUCCUCAGGUAGCACAAUAGCCCCGUAGAGGGCUGAUAACAGCCAGUGCAAUUUAGAGCAGCCCUGAGGUUUCUCUACACUGUGCCAAAAUCCUGAACUGGGGAAGGACUUGAAUGGGGUACCUCUCACCUCCACUUUUCCCUCUCAUCUCCACUGAAUGCAAUUUAGCUGCUACAAUCUCAAAGCAUUGGCAAUCCCCAUUUUGCAGAUGGCGGCACAAAGAGAUUAAGUGAGUGGACAAAGGUCACAAAUAGAACACAAACCACCUGCUUUCACCACUAGACCAGGCUUCCUCCUUCAAAGCAUAAGGUAGGCAGUGCCAGAACCUUAGGAGAGUUACCAAGAAUGUAGUUGAUUUCAGCCACCUUCACAGCUGGUGGGUACCUCACUUAAAACAAGACUAAAGCAAGCAAGAAAAUCCUCUUCACAUAUGUUGAGAUUCAGAAGGGCCCACAGUGACUUCUGAGCUUCACAGAGGACAGAACAGUCACAAAAGCACACAUUAGGUGAAUAGAUUCCAAGGCCAGAAUGUACCAUUGUGAUCAUCUAGUCUGACCUUGUGCAUCACCCAGGCCAGAGACCCUCACCCAGCGAUUCAUGCAUUAAGCCCAGUAGCCUGCGGUGGAAUUAGUGCACAUCUUUCAGAAAGACAACGAGAGUCUUAAUUUAAAGACUACAAGUGAUGGAAAAUGUACCGCAUUCCUCGCCCAUCUGUUCUAAUGGUUAGUUACCCUCUCUGUUAAAAUCGUGCAUCUUAUUUCCAGUUUGAUGUUCUUUAACUUGGAAUAAAGAAUAAGCCCUA
This is a long non-coding RNA of Chelonia mydas (Green sea turtle), 7082 nucleotides long. RefSeq lists it as uncharacterized. The record is from RefSeq and is a predicted model, not a curated record. The transcript has 9 exons. NCBI's taxonomy places the organism in Eukaryota, Metazoa, Chordata, Testudines, Cheloniidae.